AUGUUGAAUGAUUUAUUGAAGGGGAAGAUUGACGAGAUCGAUCAGCAUUUCUCCAGUUUUCAAGGCUAUAAGUCCCCCCAGUACUGCACGGAGACGUGGUACCAGGUGAGCGUGGACACGAGUCCAGCUGUGACGCCCAGCAGCAUCCAGUCUGAUGGUAUACAGGAGGAUGUGCUGAUCACGCCAAUCAUACAGAUUGUGCCAAUCGGGCCAAUCACGCAGUACGUCACCUGCCCCAAUGGACAACAGUCUGUUCAGACCAGCUGCACUCCUAUGCCUUAUGUCCACGGCCCGGCCCCCUACUGUGAGAAAGACACACCCCCUCCAGACCCUGGCCCCGCCCACCCGGAGCUCAUGUCUGUCCCAGGCAUGGACUACAGCAUGAUUCUAAACUCUGCUCCCUACUGUGAGGAAGACACGCCCCCUCCAGACCCUGGCCCCGUCCACCCGGAGCUCAUAAGCCCCGCCCCCUACUGUAAUGUAGCAUUGCAUCAGUGUCUCAGCAGUGGAUGCUCAGCAGUGAAUGGGUGCCGUCAGAAUGAGAGUCCAAACAGCUGAUAAAAACAUCACAAUAAUCCACAGCACUCCAGCCCAUCCAGUCCAGUAAGACUAAAGAUGAAACAAAUCCAGCAUUUAACUUCAAACGAUGGUCUGAGGACGAGCACAUUUUCAGCUUUUGGGUGAACUAUUCCUUUAAAAUGAUGUCAAACAAAAACAGAUUAAAUUUGAUUGAAGAUCACAAUGAUAUAAAUGUUAUAUUUUUGACUAACAUGCGUGAAGAAUUGUACAAAGGCCAUUUUUCACGGUUCACAUGAAAUGUUGCUAAAUAUUUUGAGAAAAAAGGUCGGGAAGUCAAUCUGGAUUAGUAAACACUUAUGAACAUUAUGAUAUUAAACACACAGGGCUUAUGACAAACCCACACAGCGGCCCAAUAUGUUCAACGAUUCGACGGAGCGAUCAAUGUAAUGAAAACACAAGCAAACGCUGCAGGCUGUUACCGAACCCAAGUUUAAUCUGCACACAGUUCAAUGUUAUAACCAAUCCCAACUGAGCAGGCGACCCAUGGACGAGGUGAAUGAAGCUCUGUGCUUGUAGUAGGUUAAAGAGAACAUGUUAGCAUAUCCUUAACACUUACAGCUGCAGCGAUGGAGACAGUGUAAACUAAUUAGGCUUAAUGUAUGUCACAGCACUGACACUAAACACACACACACACACACACACACACACACACACACACACACACACACACACACACACACACACACACACAGAGGGAUUACACACUAAUACUGCCAUGGCGUAAGCAUUGAGGAUAAGCUGCAUGUUCUAUAGCUUGAUGUUUUUCAUGGUAUAGAUGGUAAACUGUACAUAUAUAUAUAUAUACACACACACACAAAAAAAUUGACUGGGUUUGCAAUGGUAUCAAUUUUUCAGGUCGACUUGACCCACAAAGGCAGAGAUAGUGACAAUGAAAUAUACAUCAUGCAUCUGAAUAUAUAAAACCACACCCACAGAAUCGUGUUCCAAUUUAUAUGCAGUGUUUCAAAGGAAAUACCAUUUAACCACAGAGAGAGAGAGAGAGAGAGAGAGAGAGAGAGAGAGAUGAUUUUUAGCAUGUUCAGUGUGAAUCCGUGGGGUUUUCUCACCUGUUUUCUGGUCUAGUGGGUGAGAAUGGUGUAUCUGACCGUUAAGUAAAGUAGCAUCACACCUCUGAGUAUGAGGAGCAGAAGUAUUGAUGCUUGACUCAGAGAAUAAAUAUGAAAUGGCAGUGGGCGUGGCUCGGGUUCAUGUUUUAUUAAAAACUAAUGCAAUUACACACAAAUAGACUGAUACACACCAUCAUUUCCCUGCAAAUUCACACACUUCACUGAGAUUAGUGUGGAACGUUAUUUCACAGAGCAUUAAUGACCAACGAGUUCUUAUAAAGCACACACACGGUCACGUGUGUGUGUGUGUGUGUGUGUGUGUGUGUGUGUGUGUGUGUAGUCCAGGCGUUUGACCUCCUUUCACAUGGCUGAACACAGCUGUACAAACUCUACAGACAACAGUAACUGAGGAACUGAGAACGAUGUCUCUAGGCACUAAAGGCACAGACACACACACACACAAUACACACACAUUUGCCAUGUUUUAUUCAUGCACAUUGCACACACUCUCUCUCACACACACAGACAUCAGAGCGGAGCAGACAGAGUGGAAACAGCGACUGUGUUUGUUUCUAAAUAGAGCGUGUUUAUCAGGAGGGUCUUAGGUAAACAAACAGCAUGAGAAGAGAGACGGCAAAGGAUCAGCGACACAUUCGCCCAUCUCUCUGAGCACAGAGAACAAAUGAUUUGAUCUCCCUCUAAAAUACAAAAGAAAUUACAAAUAUAUAUGUAAGUAUAUAUUAAACCUUAAAUACAUAAUAUAUGAAUUAAAAUGUAGUGUUAAUUAUAAUUUAACUAUAUAUGUAAAAUACAUAUAUAAAAUAAUACAUUUUGUGUAUUUUAAAUAGCAAUAAA
Molecule: long non-coding RNA, 2501 nt
Organism: Cyprinus carpio carpio
Lineage: Eukaryota; Metazoa; Chordata; Actinopteri; Cypriniformes; Cyprinidae
Source: Ensembl